RNAcentral lists this ribosomal RNA (258 nucleotides) under uncultured bacterium. RNAcentral describes it as "partial 16S ribosomal RNA". It matches the Rfam family "Bacterial small subunit ribosomal RNA", at positions 524 to 776 of the family's 1533-position model. The record is from RNAcentral.
UACGAAGGGGGGCUAGCGUUGCUCGGAAUCACUGGGCGUAAAGGGUGCGUAGGCGGGUCUUUUAAGUCAGGGGGUGAAAUCCUGGAGCUCAACUCCAGAACUGCCUUUGAUACUGAGGAUCUUGAGUUCGGGGAGAGGUGAGUGGAACUGCGAGUGUAGAGGUGAAAAUUCGUAGAUAUUCGCAAGAACACCAGUGGCGAAGGCGGCUCACUGGCCCGAUACUGACGCUGAGGCACGAAAGCGUGGGGAGCAAACAGG